This is a long non-coding RNA of Siniperca chuatsi (mandarin fish), 2754 nucleotides long. RefSeq lists it as uncharacterized. The record is from RefSeq and is a predicted model, not a curated record. Lineage: Eukaryota; Metazoa; Chordata; Actinopteri; Centrarchiformes; Sinipercidae. The transcript has 3 exons.
GCUGUUUGUUUGCACCUAAACCUCUUUACAGGCCACAAGUCCACAGCUCAGCACUGUGGUGGUGAGGACGAGAAGGGCUGAUGUAGAGUGGAAGACAAUUUGCUGACCAGCUGCUUUCAUGUCUCGGGUCGCCGUGCGCUGCUUGACCACAGUGAGGUUUGGGUAGAUUUUGUAUGUUUUAAAGAGCAUCUCCACUUGUAAGGAAUGCGCAAGUUAAUGGCUGGGGUUUAUUUGUGUGUCGGUGUAGGCAAAGCGAAGACACAGAAACACUCUCAUGAGAUAUUUAUGUCAAGGAGUGGAUAGUUUGAAUGGUGACACAGUAAACUCACCAAACUAGGCCGACAGUUACAAGAAUCAGUUAAUUAAGGGAGCGAACAUCUGAGUCUGUCACACAGCCUCCAACCUGUGUCAGCUGAGCCUAAUGCAACGUAUGGAUUCAUGAGGAGAGGGAGGAGGUGGAGGACCGUUCUAAGGAGAAGGUGAUGGUGGAGGAUGAGAAGUGAAAACACUAGAGAAGAGGAGAGUAUUGUGUUAACUUUAAAGGAUGUGGAGGAGAAUGCUCAUAGAGGGAUACAAACACAAGAGGUGGAGAAAACUACAGAAGGGAUAGAGAACACUAGUUACCACCCCCGCUAUUUUUUUUAAUACAAAACGUGAAUGUGAAAGUGAAGCUGUACCCUAAUGGUACUAGGAAAUGAUUGCCUCGCAGGUGUACAUUAAAAUUAUACAACAGAAAACCUCAAACAAAGAUCCAAUCACCGUUCUAGAUGAGUGUACAAAGUAGCCCAUAUUAAACUACUGGUAACCAUAACAACAACACUUGUGCUUGAUGCUGCGUUGUAAGAUUAUAACUCUUACUGAAACUGACCUAACCAUCAAUUAAAAGGUCUACAAAUAAACUUCAAAACAUUGACAGUGGUUUUCUAUGGACUGUCUAAAUAAAGAAAUGCAAAGAAAUGUGAUUGAAAACCAAUGACAACUGAAAAUAAAGAGCUAAAUUGUGAAACACACAUAUGUUCCUGGGGCGGGUAUUCUAUCUGAACGUGUCUCUGCUGCCCUUCUAUUGGUCAGAUAAGCUGCCAGUCACAUAUUACCCAGAAAACUGAGAGGGACCUGGAUGCAGACACAAUGGCGGAUCUCCGCAAGAGGCACCGCCGUUCUCAGCAGCAGAAGUUGGUCUUCUUCUUAUUCUUUUUGCAUAAACAUCUACAUUACGCAUGUGCAUGCGUUGUCCACUUGUGGCACUAAAUGGAAAAAGACUAAACACAACAACUUUAUUCACUGAUUUUGGUGAAAUUUGAUCAUAAUUUAUGAAGCAAAUAUUUUCUGGUUUUCCCUCUGAUGUCCUCCUUGUACAGUAAUCAGUGAAGCCCACCCCCCAGAAACACUCCGCUCUGGCGUCUAUCGUUUUUCUAAUCAAUUCUUGUCUCAUUUGUGGUCUGAAAAACAGUAAAUUCAUCAAAUUAAGUGCCCCAUAUCGCUAGUUUUACCAAACCAUUGAAUAAAGUUAUGAAGUUGUGUUUUAUAGCAAGGCCUGCCACGCAAAAACGACACGAAGAAGACCAACUUCCGCUGCUGAGGUCACGUGAUUUCCUGUCAGCUGCGGAGGUGCUCCUUGCGAAGGUCUCCCAUUUUGUGUCUGCGGCUAGGUACUCUUGGGAAAACUGGGAAGCCGGAAGCGCUAAAAGUUGAAAUUAAUAUUAUUUCCACAGUUGGUUUUCAUCACUUAUUUUUAAAUCCUCACUGCUGAAGAAAUUACCCUCUGACAACAUACAUGAGCAUCACCAUCCACUACUCCCCAGAAUAAAUACCUACAAAGAGCAUACUUCCCUGAAGACUACACAGGCAAGGUUGUUGCCCAAAGCCUUACUGAGGCAAUGGCAUCCAGGGGCUGAGUCAAGACAGACGAGUGUGCAUUACUACUGACAGUGGGACAAAUAUAGUGAAGGCCACUUUACUAAACAACUGGACCCGACUACAGUGCUUUGGGCAAUGGCUGCACUCAGUAGUUGAGCAGGCAAAGACAAGAGGAUGAACUGAACAUGACAUGUUGGCAUGUUGGCCUUACUUAUACUACUCCUGGAAAAAACAAGAGAGAUCUGGCUGCUGCUCAGGAAGAACAUCACAUGCCAGAACUCAAGCUGAUGGCGGAGUCACCAACCAGGUGGGGCACUCGUCAAAAGAUGAUACUGAAGCAACACAAGGUCAUCGCUCAGUGUUGACAAGAAGGGCACUUAAUGUGCUAGAGUCUAUGAACACUGCUGGAAUUUACUGAUUCACUCUCUGGUGAAUCAUAUAUAAGAGUGUCCUACCUCAAGCUAGAGCUCCAUCUCUUUACUACACAACUCAACUCAGAGAGCAGUCACUGAAAAUAUAGAGGCAAAGCGAGACAUUUUCACCUCAUGGUGUUCAACCAGAGAAGAGGAGACAGAGGAAGAACGAGGAGCUGCUGCAGCUUUACCUACAGUACGUUGAAAAAGAAGAUGAAGUCGUAUGGUUUCUUCAAGAAGACACUCUGCUGGACCUCAGGCCUCGGUGACACACAAGACAACAGCUUGUGAAGUAGUUACAGAGGACGGAAACAGACAUUGAAACUCUUUGAAAGUUGAAAGUUUUUUGUCAUGUUUGUUUUUGUCUCUGUUUAUUGUCCUGCAAUGACUGAUAGCUGAAAAAAAGGCAAAUUAUGUGUACUGACAAAAUUUGAGAUUUAACUUUAUAUUUCAUAAUUGAUACACUAUAUGCUGCUAAGUCAAG